GCCUUAAUGCAGCCAUCCGCAAGGAUGACGGUCGCAAGCCCGUAUGAAUGCAGAGCGAGGC
RNAcentral lists this non-coding RNA (61 nucleotides) under unclassified sequences. The record is from RNAcentral.